UUGGUGUGAUUUACAUGGAGAAUUGUUAUUGGUUUGGAGCAUAAGUUGAGAGGAGAGGUGACCAUAUGGGAUUUCUUCCUAAGUGACUAAAUAGUCAUCAGGAGGAUAUUUCCUCAUUCUGCCGACAUAGAGAGAGAGAGAGAGGGGGAGAGAAAGGGAGGAGGAGGUCUCGGCUAAGGGGAGGGAGGAAGGAGAGGUCCGUUUUCGACGAUCCAACUCGGUGACAAGUAACGAGCCGGUCUUUUAGGAGGUGCCGAAACCGUAAGUUUGGCAUACUCCAGUCGAAUGAAAGGUGAGUAUGUCUGAUAUGGUUCUUCUCAAUAAGAUAUUGCUAUGGUGGUAUGUAUAUAUCUUGCUAAUGGUGUUUUAGCUUUCAAUAUGAUUAUUGAUAUGUAAAUAAUGCAGUGGAGGUGAUUAUAUAUCAAUGAUAUCAUGCUAAUCGAGGUUUAGCUAUUGAUAUGGAUAUAUGUGAUGGAAAUUUGUAUACCAUGCUAUAUGUUGUUUUAGCUAAUGGUAUGCAUGCUUGUUGUAUGUUGAUUGUACCCGCGAAAGGAUUGUGGAGUGAGUCACACCAUAUCGUGGGCCGUGCCGUCUAAUUAACGGUGAAUGGGAGUGUGGUGUGCGGGACACAAUUCCUUGGGUACAUGGGAUGUGGCAGACGUGCCACUGUAUGUUGGUGUUUAUACAUGUGGUUAUACGAUUGAGUACUUAUGUUGAGUUUCGUGUGAUUUACGUUCAUGCCGUUAUUGUUAUGUGGUUGUUUAUUGAAUAAUAUUGCUAUGUUUUGGCGGAUGUGGUGGUUAUAACUAAUGUACUCAUAUGGGUAUUGCAGUUAUGUUGGUGGUGAAUAUUCUUAUUGAUAUUCUUUUGGGUAUUGUGACAUUUUAUUGAGCAUUUCUAUAUCUCACACACUCUGGCUUUCCUUUUUGGACUGCCAGGUAGCAGGUGGCUUAGAGUGGGUCCACUACUGGUCAACGCCUUGGAGAGUGCUGAGACUCGUGUUGGGUGAUGUCCUUGGUUAGAUUGUUGUGUAGCUGAUUCGUCUAGAAGUUAACUACAUGUUUUGUAAUUAAUUGGAGAGAGGGAUAUUUUUUAUAACUUGUGAGUUGAGGUUUUGGCGUUGACUUGGUUGUAUUUUAAGUGAGAAGUCUUCCGCUAAGUUGUAUUCUGAUUGGUUGUAGAGUGUGGUGUGGUCUUUUGUGUGGAACGCCACGUGGCCGCGCCGACUCGGGCCCACUUUGGGUGUCGUUUGCGGGCGGGGCGUGACAGGUUGGUAUCAAAGCUAGUACGUUCUAGUCUCUGUGUUGAGAGUCGAUUGGGAAUGUUGGUAGUGGACCAUAGGUUGUUGUUACUGUCGAGAAGGAGUUAGUGGGUGGCUAUCGUGGGAGUAUUUAAUACUUAGCACUAUGUUUGUUGUUGGUGGUUUGAGUUGUUAAAGCAGGUUAUUGAUAUGGCUCAGUUCAUGGAGCAGCAAAUGGUAAUUCUUCCAUGGCAGAUUGUGCUGGCACUGGCGGUGUCUUAUGUGGGCCGUGUUUUGUGUGUUAGAAGUAAAGGGAUUGGAGGGUUCAUGACGUUAUGGAGAGUAUGUGCUUAUGCAUGUCAAGGAACUCAGACUUUGUCGGAUAUGGUUAUGAGGUAUUUUCAAUAUUGAAUUACGUUGGGUGUAAGUAACAGUAGAUGUUGUGUUAAACUUAUUUACUGUAUUAUCAAUGCAUAAUAUGCACUUGGUUGUAUUGUUAUGUAGUAUGUCAAUCUUGCUAUAUCGUAAGUUAUCGUAAGUUGGCGGUGGGAAGAUUCUUAAGAGUUUGAGAGGUACGCGCUAGAGAUGGUUCAUUUUGAAUUUGGAAGGUUAGUGUCAAAGUUGUGGGUUUUGUGGUGAAUUUUGAAAGAUAUUGAAAAAAAAAAAAAGGGGGUGUGUGUGUGUGUGUAUGGCAGUAGCAUGGCUUCAUUGGUGUGUGAUUGGGUACGUGUAUGAUUUGUGCAUGCUAAGAGGAUGAUACUCACAUAGAGAUAUAUGUAUUGCUAGAAGUUUAAAAUGAUUGUUAUCCGUUCAUGGUGUGGAAAGUGUUAAAUGUGUAAAAACUGAAAACUUUUGGAAUGUGUUAAACGUGUGUAGAGAAUGUUAAACUUUCUAAAUGAAGUGGAUUUAUUGGGUAUGUACACAUCUAGUGUGGUAAUAUUCUGGGCAUAACGCCUAAAGAAAUGUUAAGGGGAUAUGAAUACUUCUGUUUAGUUGAAAAGAUCAAAUACGGUGGAAGUUAAAAAUCUUACAGAUAGUGGUUUCGUGUUGCGUUGAGCUUGGUGUAUUUGGUUAUAACAUUACUUAUGAAAAUUUGAAUAAGUAGUGAGUAUGUAUCUAUAUACUACUUGCAUCUGGUUGUGUAUGCGUACAUGGCUAGUAUGGUAUUAUGGAUGUGGUAUGUGGUAUAUCGUUGAAAAGUUAAAAGCACGUACGGAAGGGUUUCAUAUUCUUUGGAAAAUGUUAGAAACUACAUUUGAUAGUCAUAGAAAAUAAAUUCAUAUUUGGUGUUGGAGAUGACCGAAAUGAAUGUAUAUGUACAUGUGAAACAUAAUGGUUUAGUGUUACGUGAAGAUGGUUUUAUUGGUUCUAUAUGAACUAGUAUGUGAUUGUGGUUAUCUUUGGGGAGAUAAGUAUUGGUGAGUAUUUCUAUGUCUUAUUCCAUGUACAGAUGAGUUGGAAAACUUUAAUGAGUUAGUUGUCAAAUGUAGCGAUAAGGAAUGAGAUGAGAAAAUUGGGGUAUUAGUUGUUGGAGGUGGAGUAGGUAGGGGCGAUAGUGUGUUUAAUGGUUGAAUUUGUGAGUUGGAAAUCGCAUGUUGGGCGAAUGAGAUCAAACAGAAGGGGGAAAUCAGCUACAAACGGUAACUGUGAAUGUCGGGAUGCUACAAGGGUGAGCUAUGGUUGGGAUUGUUCGGUUAACAAGUUGAAAUGAUACAAGUCUGGGGAAAUACAAAUCAGGUCGGGAUUGAAUUGUGUUGAGAGAAUGGGCAAUGCCUAUAAGCAGUUGCAGUGGUCAGAUGGGAAAUGGGAUAACUUCGCAGAAGUGAAACUGGGGCAGAGUGUUGGUGUUAUUGAAAACCAUUCGGAGAGAAUGGAACAGGUAUAACUUUAUUGUUGUUUGAUUUGAUAACAUGUUCAUGCAUUAUGGCUUCGUGUCAAAGUCAGUCCAGUCGACUGGAGUGUCAGUGGUGUUGUGAGGAAAUAGACAAUGUGUCUAUUAAAUCACGACAUGUCUUGCAUAUUGUCAUAUUCGCAUGCCAUCAAUGAUAUAUAUGUUGUGGACUAACCUUGUUUUGAAGGGACAUGUUACAACAGAACUGAGUUUGGAUUUCUGGAACAGAAUUCGAGAGUGGCACUGGGUUGACAAUGAGACGUGGAACAGUGUUGAAAUUUCGGUUGUGAUGGAAUGAUGGAAAGGGCGUUGGGGUUUAUGAGGAAAUGCAUAGAGGAAGUAGAUUAAGUGAAGCAUAGAUGAUUGUUACGGUCAGAUGUGAAAUUUUAAGUGAUAGUUGAGAUACGAUGGUAGUAAGUUUUGUGAUGAGUUGAAGGUUAGGAAGAUUAGGUGGGUUGUUGAUUCGUGUUAGUAUGUGUUGGGAUGGAUCGUAUACUAGUAUAUACAAAUUUCUUGAGGUGUUGUUUGUGUGUGAUGGAUGUACUUGUUUGGUGUACUUAAGUGAUAAAAUGGUUAAUGGACCAUGAUCAUAUAAUAUGCAUAUAAUAUUGUUUCAAGAUCAAUGUUUGUUGGUGUAUCAAGUAGUGUGAUUAUGCUAAUUGAUAGUAUGAGGUUAAAACUUAAUUUUCCUAGAAAGUUUAUACUCAUGUUUUGAGAGUGUGUGGUGGUAUAGGAGUCAUGAGAGUUUAUUAAGUUGGUGCUGAUGUUGAGAUUGCGUUAUAUUGAUUUUAACGAGAGUUUGAGAGUUUUGGUUGGAAUUUACCCUAUUAAAGGAUAAGCUUAUAAAUUUCCUACGGUGGAAUUGUGUGAAAUGAUGAAAGUGGUUUUGGCAUGUAGGUGUGUUGGGUACCGUGUUGUGUGUUAGUUGUUGUUGAGAGAAGUGAUUGAUAGGGCUGGUGCGAAGUAUGAAUUGUCCUUGCUAAGGAAGUUACUGGUGUUGGGAUAUGUGGAGCUUUGACAAGAGUUGGAGAUUUGUUUUUGGUGGUGUUAUUGAGUUUGAGGUUGGGUGUUGUGUGGUUGCUGAGUAAUUUUGAGUGUAUGCAUGUUUGAGAUUAUUUUCUUUGAGGUGAGAUUUCGGUAGAGGUUGGAUUUAUUCUUUUUGAAGUUUGGUUUUUGUUUACAUGUGGAUGAGUUGUGUAAGUUGGUGAAGGUGUUUGUUUUGGGGAUGGUGUUGGUAACUCUGUGAGGUUGGUUUUUGUUGACUUUGUGGCGGGUAUUAUUUCGGGGACGAAAUAUUCCAAGUGGGGGAGAGUUGUAACACCCGUCCCAGGAUAUUUAGGGUUUCGAUUUAAUUUUGAGGUUUAGGGUUUAAUUUGUAUUUGUUGGAUUCUAUGAGGGGCUUUGGUGUGAUUUACAUGGAGAAUUGUUAUUGGUUUGGAGCAUAAGUUGAGAGGAGAGGUGACCAUAUGGGAUUUCUUCCUAAGUGACUAAAUAGUCAUCAGGAGGAUAUUUCCUCAUUCUGCCGACAUAGAGAGAGAGAGAGAGGGGGAGAGAAAGGGAGGAGGAGGUCUCGGCUAAGGGGAGGGAGGAAGGAGAGGUCCGUUUUCGACGAUCCAACUCGGUGACAAGUAACGAGCCGGUCUUUUAGGAGGUGCCGAAACCGUAAGUUUGGCAUACUCCAGUCGAAUGAAAGGUGAGUAUGUCUGAUAUGGUUCUUCUCAAUAAGAUAUUGCUAUGGUGGUAUGUAUAUAUCUUGCUAAUGGUGUUUUAGCUUUCAAUAUGAUUAUUGAUAUGUAAAUAAUGCAGUGGAGGUGAUUAUAUAUCAAUGAUAUCAUGCUAAUCGAGGUUUAGCUAUUGAUAUGGAUAUAUGUGAUGGAAAUUUGUAUACCAUGCUAUAUGUUGUUUUAGCUAAUGGUAUGCAUGCUUGUUGUAUGUUGAUUGUACCCGCGAAAGGAUUGUGGAGUGAGUCACACCAUAUCGUGGGCCGUGCCGUCUAAUUAACGGUGAAUGGGAGUGUGGUGUGCGGGACACAAUUCCUUGGGUACAUGGGAUGUGGCAGACGUGCCACUGUAUGUUGGUGUUUAUACAUGUGGUUAUACGAUUGAGUACUUAUGUUGAGUUUCGUGUGAUUUACGUUCAUGCCGUUAUUGUUAUGUGGUUGUUUAUUGAAUAAUAUUGCUAUGUUUUGGCGGAUGUGGUGGUUAUAACUAAUGUACUCAUAUGGGUAUUGCAGUUAUGUUGGUGGUGAAUAUUCUUAUUGAUAUUCUUUUGGGUAUUGUGACAUUUUAUUGAGCAUUUCUAUAUCUCACACACUCUGGCUUUCCUUUUUGGACUGCCAGGUAGCAGGUGGCUUAGAGUGGGUCCACUACUGGUCAACGCCUUGGAGAGUGCUGAGACUCGUGUGGGGUGAUGUCCUUGGUUAGAUUGUUGUGUAGCUGAUUCGUCUAGAAGUUAACUACAUGUUUUGUAAUUAAUUGGAGAGAGGGAUAUUUUUUAUAACUUGUGAGUUGAGGUUUUGGCGUUGACUUGGUUGUAUUUUAAGUGAGAAGUCUUCCGCUAAGUUGUAUUCUGAUUGGUUGUAGAGUGUGGUGUGGUCUUUUGUGUGGAACGCCACGUGGCCGCGCCGACUCGGGCCCACUUUGGGUGUCGUUUGCGGGCGGGGCGUGACGUCCUUGGUUAGAUUGUUGUGUAGCUGAUUCGUCUAGAAGUUAACUACAUGUUUUGUAAUUAAUUGGAGAGAGGGAUAUUUUUUAUAACUUGUGAGUUGAGGUUUUGGCGUUGACUUGGUUGUAUUUUAAGUGAGAAGUCUUCCGCUAAGUUGUAUUC
This is a long non-coding RNA of Rhododendron vialii, 5957 nucleotides long. RefSeq lists it as uncharacterized. Lineage: Eukaryota; Viridiplantae; Streptophyta; Magnoliopsida; Ericales; Ericaceae. The record is from RefSeq and is a predicted model, not a curated record. The transcript has 3 exons.